GGCGUAAAGGGCGCGUAGGCGGAUUAUCAAGUCUCUUGUGAAAUCUAAUGGCUUAACCAUUAAACUGCUUGGGAAACUGAUAGUCUAGAGUGAGGGAGAGGCAGAUGGAAUUGGUGGUGUAGGGGUAAAAUCCGUAGAUAUCACCAAGAAUACCCAUUGCGAAGGCGAUCUGCUGGAACUCAACUGACGCUAAGGCGCGAAAGCGUGGGGAGCAAACAGGAUUAGAUACCCUGGUAGUCCACGCCCUAAACGAUGUACACUAGUUGUUGGGGUGCUAGUCAUCUCAGUAAUGCAGCUAACGCAUUAAGUGUACCGCCUGGGGAGUACGGUCGCAAGAUUAAAACUCAAAGGAAUAGACGGGGACCCGCACAAGCGGUGGAGCAUGUGGUUUAAUUCGAAGAUACGCGAAGAACCUUACCUGGGCUUGAUAUCCUAAGAACCUUUUAGAGAUAAGAGGGUGCUAGCUUGCUAGAACUUAGAGACAGGUGCUGCACGGCUGUCGUCAGCUCGUGUCGUGAGAUGUUGGGUUAAGUCCCGCAACGAGCGCAACCCACGUAUUUAGUUGCUAACGGUUCGGCCGAGCACUCUAAAUAGACUGCCUUCGUAAGGAGGAGGAAGGUGUGGACGACGUCAAGUCAUCAUGGCCCUUAUGCCCAGGGCGACACACGUGCUACAAUGGCAUAUACAAUGAGACGCAAUACCGCGAGGUGGAGCAAAUCUAUAAAAUAUGUCCCAGUUCGGAUUGUUCUCUGCAACUCGAGAGCAUGAAGCCGGAAUCGCUAGUAAUCGUAGAUCAGCCAUGCUACGGUGAAUACGUUCCCGGGUCUUGUACUCACCGCCCGUCACACCAUGGGAGUUGAUUUCACUCGAAGCCGGAAUACUAAACUAGUUACCGUCCACAGUGGAAUCAGCGACUGGGGUGAAGUCGUAACAAGGUAACCGUAGGAGAACCUGCGGUUGGAUCACCUCCUUUCUA
This 976-nucleotide ribosomal RNA is filed under the name Campylobacter jejuni. RNAcentral describes it as "bacterial SSU rRNA". It matches the Rfam family "Bacterial small subunit ribosomal RNA", at positions 557 to 1533 of the family's 1533-position model. The record is from RNAcentral. Lineage: Bacteria; Pseudomonadati; Campylobacterota; Epsilonproteobacteria; Campylobacterales; Campylobacteraceae.